GGGGCAUGCAUGGGCGGAGCUGAUGCAGCACGCCGCGUGCGGGAUGACGGCCUUCGGGUUGUAAACCGCUUUCGCCUGUGACGAAGCGUGAGUGACGGUAAUGGGUAAAGAAGCACCGGCUAACUACGUGCCAGCAGCCGCGGUGAUACGUAGGGUGCGAGCGUUGUCCGGAUUUAUUGGGCGUAAAGGGCUCGUAGGUGGUUGAUCGCGUCGGAAGUGUAAUCUUGGGGCUUAACCCUGAGCGUGCUUUCGAUACGGGUUGACUUGAGGAAGGUAGGGGAGAAUGGAAUUCCUGGUGGAGCGGUGGAAUGCGCAGAUAUCAGGAGGAACACCAGUGGCGAAGGCGGUUCUCUGGGCCUUUCCUGACGCUGAGGAGCGAAAGCGUGGGGAGCGAACAGGCUUAGAUACCCUGGUAGUCCACGCUGUAAACGGUGGGUACUAGGUGUGGGGUCCAUUCCACGGGUUCCGUGCCGUAGCUAACGCUUUAAGUACCCCGCCUGGGGAGUACGGCCGCAAGGCUAAAACUCAAAGAAAUUUGACGGGA
Molecule: ribosomal RNA, 544 nt
Filed under: uncultured Propionibacterium sp.
Lineage: Bacteria; Bacillati; Actinomycetota; Actinomycetes; Propionibacteriales; Propionibacteriaceae
Description: bacterial SSU rRNA
Rfam family: Bacterial small subunit ribosomal RNA
Source: RNAcentral